AGGACGAACGCUGGCGGCGUGCCUAACACAUGCAAGUCGAGCGGGGAUGUAUGGAGGAAGUUUCGGAUGGAAUCGAUACAUUCUAGCGGCGGACGGGUGAGUAACGCGUGAGCAACCUGCCUUUCACAGGGGGAUAACGGAUCGAAAGAUUCACUAAUACCGCAUGAGACCACGAUACCGAGUGGUAUAGGGGUCAAAGGAGCAAUCCGGUGAAAGAUGGGCUCGCGUCCGAUUAGGUAGUUGGUGGGGUAAUGGCUCACCAAGCCAAUGAUCGGUAGCCGACCUGAGAGGGUGAUCGGCCACACUGGAACUGAGAGACGGUCCAGACUCCUACGGGAGGCAGCAGUGGGGAAUAUUGGGCAAUGGGGGAAACCCUGACCCAGCAACGCCGCGUGAGGGAAGAAGGUUUUCGGAUUGUAAACCUCUGUCCUUGGUGAAGAGCAGAAGACGGUAGCCAAGGAGGAAGCCCCGGCUAACUACGUGCCAGCAGCCGC
This 494-nucleotide ribosomal RNA is filed under the name uncultured bacterium. Its description in RNAcentral is "bacterial SSU rRNA". It matches the Rfam family "Bacterial small subunit ribosomal RNA", at positions 26 to 518 of the family's 1533-position model. The record is from RNAcentral.